This 264-nucleotide ribosomal RNA is filed under the name uncultured archaeon. RNAcentral's name for it is "partial 16S ribosomal RNA". It matches the Rfam family "Archaeal small subunit ribosomal RNA", at positions 748 to 1009 of the family's 1478-position model. The record is from RNAcentral.
CAGCCGUAAACAAUGUGCGUUAGGUGUGUCGGUAACCACGUGUUACUGAUGCGCCGAAGAGAAAUCGUGAAACGCACCACCUGGGAAGUACGGUCGCAAGGCUGAAACUUAAAGGAAUUGGCGGGGGGAGGCACCACAACAGGUGGAGCCUGCGGUUUAAUUUGGACUCAACGCCGGACAACUCACCGGGAACGACAGCAAUAUGUAGGCCAGGCUGAAGACCUUGCCUGAAUCGCUGAGAGGAGGUGCAUGGCGUAGACGUCU